AAGAAUGAUCUGGCCACACUGGCCUCCUUUCCCCUGACUUUGGUGAACCCUUUCCAGCCUCUGGAGCUUUGCAAAUGCGUUUCCUCUACCUGGAAGGCUUUCCCAAUCCAGCUCCACAGUGUAGUUGUCUUUUUCUUAUACUCUCGGCUUCAGCUUAGAUGUUACAUCCUCAGAGAGCACUUCCUUAGUGGUUCUCUGUCUGUCCGUUUGUACCAAGUUUAUUCCCUUAGCAGAAUUUACCACAAUGUGGCAUUUUUUUUUUUGGUUGUCUGUGUGUUUAUUUCCUGCCUCCUCCUUUGGAAUAUCAUCUCUGUGAGGGUAGGAUCCAGCAUGUUUGCUUUAGUGAUGUGUCCCCAGCUCCUAGAUCAUAAUGCCUGGCACUUCCAGAGAAUCAGACCAAACCAAGGUUUCAGCAGUGCUGUGUUCUUUCUGAAGAUCCGGGGAGAGAAUUUGUUCCUUGCCUUUUCCAGCUUCCAGAGGAUGCCUGCAUUACUUGGCUCAUGGCCCUUCCUUCGUCCUCAAACAUCACUCCUACCUCUGCUUCUGUUGCGACUUUUUUUUUCCUGAUCUUGACCCUUUUGAUUACAUUGGACUCACUUGGAUAUGAGGAUAAUCUCCUCAUUUAAGAGUGUUAACCUAAUCUUAUCUACAGAGUCCCCUUUUCCAUGUAAGGUCACAUAUUCACAGAUUCUGGGGAUUAGGGUGUGAGUACAUUUUGGGGGACAUUAUUCUGUUUAUGCAACCUUUAAUUUGUAAUACUAUCAAUAUACAAAGUUCUGAGAGUGUCUCCAAUGGUACUCAACCUCCCAGCAGUAAGGGUAGAUGUUAAAUAAAGUGAGAAGUUCUUCUUCAAAAGUUUAGCUCGUUUAAGUUUCCUUGUUCUUUGUUCCCUGCUUUCAAGGCCAGACUUCCUUGCUCUCCGUGUCUCCCUGCCGUAGUCUCAAGGAGCAACUUUUCUGCCAGUCCUUAUCCAUAAAGCCCACAUUCCACUCUGCAAAUUACCACUCCUGCCACAACAGGUCCUUCUGCCAAAACUGUCCUUCCCGCCAGUAUAACCCCCUCCCUGCACCCUUCAAAUUGGCCAACCAAGACCAGUUUAAAUUGUGCAGUCUAGUUCCAGCCAAUGGAGACAGGACACAGUAGUAGAAACCCAUUACAUUAAGAAUAAAAAUCUCUGUUUUCCUUUGUAGUGCUCUUGCCAAUGCUCCAUCCAUGAGAUGCACCCU
Molecule: long non-coding RNA, 1226 nt
Filed under: Callithrix jacchus (white-tufted-ear marmoset)
Lineage: Eukaryota; Metazoa; Chordata; Mammalia; Primates; Cebidae
Description: lncRNA (ENSCJAG00000071505.1)
Source: RNAcentral